AUGUGUUAAGGAUAGUAGUGACAUCCUUUUUAGGCAUCGACUAAAAAGAUAUAGCGGAUAGCCUGACCCGAU
RNAcentral lists this small RNA (72 nucleotides) under Lutibacter profundi. Its description in RNAcentral is "Flavo-1 RNA". It matches the Rfam family "Flavo-1 RNA". The record is from Rfam by way of RNAcentral. Lineage: Bacteria; Pseudomonadati; Bacteroidota; Flavobacteriia; Flavobacteriales; Flavobacteriaceae.